CCUACGGGAGGCAGCAGUGGGGAAUAUUGCGCAAUGGGCGAAAGCCUGACGCAGCGACGCCGCGUGAGGGAUGAAGGUUCUCGGAUCGUAAACCUCUGUCAGAAGGGAAGAAACCGCACCGUGCUAAUCAGCGGUGCAUUGACGGUACCUUCAAAGGAAGCACCGGCUAACUCCGUGCCAGCAGCCGCGGUAAUACGGAGGGUGCAAGCGUUAAUCGGAAUUACUGGGCGUAAAGCGCACGUAGGCUGCUUUGUAAGUCAGGGGUGAAAUCCCACGGCUCAACCGUGGAACUGCCUUUGAUACUGCUUAGCUUGAAUCCGGGAGAGGGUGGCGGAAUUCCAGGUGUAGGAGUGAAAUCCGUAGAUAUCUGGAGGAACAUCAGUGGCGAAGGCGGCCACCUGGACCGGUAUUGACGCUGAGGUGCGAAAGCGUGGGGAGCAA
This 441-nucleotide ribosomal RNA is filed under the name uncultured Desulfovibrio sp. RNAcentral describes it as "bacterial SSU rRNA". It matches the Rfam family "Bacterial small subunit ribosomal RNA", at positions 338 to 771 of the family's 1533-position model. The record is from RNAcentral. Lineage: Bacteria; Pseudomonadati; Thermodesulfobacteriota; Desulfovibrionia; Desulfovibrionales; Desulfovibrionaceae.